Molecule: long non-coding RNA, 801 nt
Filed under: Setaria viridis
Lineage: Eukaryota; Viridiplantae; Streptophyta; Magnoliopsida; Poales; Poaceae
Description: long non-coding RNA (SVIR_LNC009726)
Source: RNAcentral
UGGCAUGUUUCAUACUCUGGAAUGAAGUGUAGUUGAGGCAGCAUGAUUUUGGAUGCCUCUCUGCUUUAUUUUGGUCUCAUGGGCAUGAACUUCGUACUUAUAUAGAUGUUAGUUUUUUAAUCUAUAUGUAAUGGAUUCACUACGUUGCAUGCCUCUGCUUGAUUUUUGUCACAUGGGCAACAACUUCAUACUUAUAGUGUUAAUUAUGUACUUUGUGGGAGGUUAUAUCUUUUGUCUGGUAAUGGUUAAAUCUGUUGUGUAUGCUUGUCUGGUUAAAUCUGUUGUCUGCUUAUAUGUGUUGUGUUAAUUAAGUAUAUGUAUUGUGUAUCUCUUGUCUAGAUAUAUCUAUUGUGUAUUUCUUCAAAAGUUUCCAGAAAUCCUAAUUAAAACAAAAGAAAACAUCAUCAUCUUCUCCAAUAUGCAUUAUAGGUACAAUAACUCAAAAGUUUUCUAGAAAUCAUAAUUUCUACUAACACCCAUAAGUCAACUUUGCAACCCAAUUUAAACAAAGAAAACAUUGUCUUCUUCUCCAAUGGCAACUAGAGCAAUGACACCAUCAGCAAGGUAGGUGUCAUCAGAAUCAUCAUCGUCUUCUGGUAUGUCCGCAUGAUCUGGUUUAGGCAUUGGUUCAGCAGCUGCCUGUUCAAGUGCAGAAGCAUCACCACUUAACCCUUCCACAUCUGGCCUACUCCAAUUUAUCAAUUCCUCUUGUCGGUCUUCAACAUUCAUAUGUUCGACUCCUAUGACAACUGAGUCCACAUCGGUAUCAUCAACAUUAUUAUCAGUGUCACCUCCUUCAGG